Molecule: ribosomal RNA, 465 nt
Filed under: uncultured bacterium
Lineage: Bacteria
Description: partial 16S ribosomal RNA
Rfam family: Bacterial small subunit ribosomal RNA
Source: RNAcentral
CCUCCUUUUUUCCGCCGUGGGGAAUAUUGCGCAAUGGGCGAAAGCCUGACGCAGCGACGCCGCGUGAGGGAUGAAGGUCUUCGGAUCGUAAACCUCUGUCAGCAGGGAAGAACGGUCACUGUGCUAAUCAGCAGUGAAUUGCCGGGACCUGCAAAGGAAGCACCGGCUAACUCCGUGCCAGCAGCCGCGGUAAUACGGAGGGUGCGCACGUUAAUCGGAAUUACUGGGCGUAAAGCGCUCGUAGGCGGUAUGUCAAGGCAAGGGUGAAAUCCCCGCGCUUAACGUGGGAACUGCCUUUGAGACUGGCGAGCUGGAGUGUGUGAGAGGAUAGAGGAAUUCCAGGUGUAGGGGUGAAAUGCGUAGAUAUCAGGAGGAACAUCAGUGGCGAAGGCGACUAUCUGGCACAUAACUGACGCUGAGGAGCGAAAGCGUGGGUAGCAAACAGGAUUAGAUACCCCAGUAGUC